This 1439-nucleotide ribosomal RNA is filed under the name uncultured organism. Its description in RNAcentral is "SSU rRNA". It matches the Rfam family "Bacterial small subunit ribosomal RNA". The record is from RNAcentral.
CUAUCUACAGGCUUAACACAUGCAAGUCGAGGGGCAUCAGGAAGAAAGCUUGCUUUCUUUGCUGGCGACCGGCGCACGGGUGAGUAACACGUAUCCAACCUGCCCUUUACUCGGGGAUAGCCUUUCGAAAGAAAGAUUAAUACCCGAUGGCAUAAUGAUUCCGCAUGGUUUCAUUAUUAAAGGAUUCCGGUAAAGGAUGGGGAUGCGUUCCAUUAGGUUGUUGGUGAGGUAACGGCUCACCAAACCUUCGAUGGAUAGGGGUUCUGAGAGGAAGGUCCCCCACAUUGGAACUGAGACACGGUCCAAACUCCUACGGGAGGCAGCAGUGAGGAAUAUCGGUCAAUGGGCGCUAGCCUGAACCAGCCAAGUAGCGUGAAGGAUGAAGGCUCUAUGGGUCGUAAACUUCUUUUAUAUAAGAAUAAAGUGCAGUAUGUAUACUGUUUUGUAUGUAUUAUAUGAAUAAGGAUCGGCUAACUCCGUGCCAGCAGCCGCGGUAAUACGGAGGAUCCGAGCGUUAUCCGGAUUUAUUGGGUUUAAAGGGAGCGUAGGUGGACUGGUAAGUCAGUUGUGAAAGUUUGCGGCUCAACCGUAAAAUUGCAGUUGAUACUGUCAGUCUUGAGUACAGUAGAGGUGGGCGGAAUUCGUGGUGUAGCGGUGAAAUGCUUAGAUAUCACGAAGAACUCCGAUUGCGAAGGCAGCUCACUGGACUGCAACUGACACUGAUGCUCGAAAGUGUGGGUAUCAAACAGGAUUAGAUACCCUGGUAGUCCACACAGUAAACGAUGAAUACUCGCUGUUUGCGAUAUACAGUAAGCGGCCAAGCGAAAGCAUUAAGUAUUCCACCUGGGGAGUACGCCGGCAACGGUGAAACUCAAAGGAAUUGACGGGGGCCCGCACAAGCGGAGGAACAUGUGGUUUAAUUCGAUGAUACGCGAGGAACCUUACCCGGGCUUAAAUUGCAGUGGAAUGAUGUGGAAACAUGUCAGUGAGCAAUCACCGCUGUGAAGGUGCUGCAUGGUUGUCGUCAGCUCGUGCCGUGAGGUGUCGGCUUAAGUGCCAUAACGAGCGCAACCCUUAUCUUUAGUUACUAACAGGUUAUGCUGAGGACUCUAGAGAGACUGCCGUCGUAAGAUGUGAGGAAGGUGGGGAUGACGUCAAAUCAGCACGGCCCUUACGUCCGGGGCUACACACGUGUUACAAUGGGGGGUACAGAAGGCAGCUAGCGGGUGACUGUAUGCUAAUCCCAAAAGCCUCUCUCAGUUCGGAUUGAAGUCUGCAACCCGACUUCGUGAAGCUGGAUUCGCUAGUAAUCGCGCAUCAGCCACGGCGCGGUGAAUACGUUCCCGGGCCUUGUACACACCGCCCGUCAAGCCAUGGGAGCCGGGGGUACCUGAAGUACGUAACCGCAAGGAUCGUCCUAGGGUAAAACUGGUGACUGG